GAUGAACGCUGGCGGUGUGCCUAAUACAUGCAAGUCGAGCGAACAGACGAGGAGCUUACUCCUCUGACGUUAGCGGCGGACGGGUGAGUAACACGUGGAUAACCUACCUAUAAGACUGGGAUAACUUCGGGAAACCGGAGCUAAUACCGGAUAACAUGUUGAACCGCAUGGUUCAACAGUGAAAGACGGUCUUGCUGUCACUUAUAGAUGGAUCCGCGUCGCAUUAGCUAGUUGGUAAGGUAACGGCUUACCAAGGCAACGAUGCGUAGCCGACCUGAGAGGGUGAUCGGCAACACUGGAACUGAGACACGGUCCAGACUCCUACGGGAGGCAGCAGUAGGGAAUCUUCCGAAAUGGGCGAAAGCCUGACGGAGCAACGCCGCGUGAGUGAAGAAGGUCUUCGGAUCGUAAAACUCUGUUAUUAGGGAAGAACAAAUGUGUAAGUAACUAUACACGUCUUGACGGUACCUAAUCAGAAAGCCACGGCUAACUACGUG
RNAcentral lists this ribosomal RNA (497 nucleotides) under uncultured bacterium. RNAcentral describes it as "partial 16S ribosomal RNA". It matches the Rfam family "Bacterial small subunit ribosomal RNA", at positions 28 to 507 of the family's 1533-position model. The record is from RNAcentral.